Molecule: ribosomal RNA, 636 nt
Filed under: uncultured bacterium
Lineage: Bacteria
Description: bacterial SSU rRNA
Rfam family: Bacterial small subunit ribosomal RNA (bases 1-541)
Source: RNAcentral
CCUACGGGAGGCAGCAGUGGGGAAUAUUGGACAAUGGGCGGAAGCCUGAUCCAGCAACGCCGCGUGAGGGAUGACGGCCUUCGGGUUGUAAACCUCUUUCACCAUUGACGAAGUCGCAUUCUUUUGGGUGUGGUGACGGUAGGUGGGGAAGAAGCACCGGCCAACUACGUGCCAGCAGCCGCGGUAAUACGUAGGGUGCGAGCGUUGUCCGGAAUUAUUGGGCGUAAAGGGCUCGUAGGCGGUUUGUCGCGUCGGGAGUGAAAAACCUUGGGCUUAACCCAGGGCUUGCUUUCGAUACGGGCAGACUAGAGGUAUGCAGGGGAGAACGGAAUUCCUGGUGUAGCGGUGAAAUGCGCAGAUAUCAGGAGGAACACCGGUGGCGAAGGCGGUUCUCUGGGCAUGAUCUGACGCUGAGGAGCGAAAAGUGUGGGGAGCGAACAGGAUUAGAUACCCUGGUAGUCCACACCGUAAAACGUUGGGCGCUAGGUGUGGGGUCCAUUCCACGGGUUCCGUGCGCAGCUAACGCAUUAAGCGCCCCGCCCUCGGGGAGGUACGGCCGGCCAAGGACGUAAAACUUAAAAAUUAAGAAUUAGUACGGCGNGAGACGAGCCGAACGACGACACGAGGGAAGGUAGG